RNAcentral lists this non-coding RNA (123 nucleotides) under Rhodanobacter spathiphylli. Its description in RNAcentral is "Rhodanobacter sp. SAH sequence". It matches the Rfam family "SAH (S-adenosyl-L-homocysteine) riboswitch aptamer". The record is from RNAcentral. Lineage: Bacteria; Pseudomonadati; Pseudomonadota; Gammaproteobacteria; Lysobacterales; Rhodanobacteraceae.
UUCGCCGAGGGGCGUUGCAACCCGCCGCGUGGAUGCUUCCACCGGAAUCCGCAUUUCCUCAUGCGGAUUCCAGCAAAACGGGUCAGGCUCGGCACCUUCCUACCGCAACAGCGCCCGAUCACC